Molecule: long non-coding RNA, 1558 nt
Organism: Syzygium oleosum
Lineage: Eukaryota; Viridiplantae; Streptophyta; Magnoliopsida; Myrtales; Myrtaceae
Exons: 2
Source: RefSeq, a predicted model, not a curated record
UUUUAGUCAGCCAAUUCGGAUCAAGAGAGUCAUUCCGACGAGCCUUCGCCACCCAGUCCGCGGCUUGAUUUCCAUUUCGGGAACAAUGGACUAUGGAGGCGUCACUUAGUCGGGCCAGAAUCUAUUGGCAAUCCAUCACAAAUAGACCGAGUGGGCCAGGGACUUUCGGCCCAGCCCAGAACAUAAGAAACUGAGCACAGGUCAGAGCUGAUGACCACCCCGCAGAUCAGACUGAACUGAGCACAGGUCAGUUUCUUGCUUCCUCUUCUCUCCCAUGUCUUCUCCGUGCACGACAGUCCCUCUCUCACCGCAAGGGUUUCCGCUAACAGUGCCGAAGAGGCGUGUAUUUUCUUGGCAAAUCCAUCGAUGAGGAUCCCAUGGGAGUCUCUACAAACCCCCCGGCGAUCGCUCCCUCCCGCGACUCACCGCACCAGGAGGCAUCGACAUUCAUCAACCAAGAACCCUCAGGUGGCGGGAUCCAGUGGUCGGAAGGUUAGGCAUCCUGUCCUUUAUGCUUCUUCUUGCUGUGAUUCCAUUUUUCGAAGAGCUUCUGUGAAUUAAACGCUUCCUCGACUAACUGGCUGGGUCUCGGCUUCCUGUUCCUGAAAACCCACGCGUUCCUUUCCUUCCAAAUCAACCAUAUUACACCGGCGAGUAUUGCCGUGGAGGAUGGGUCGGCUCGGGAAGGUAAGUUUUCCAAUAUCGACUUGUCAAUCCUGGUUAUCUUUUCCGGUGAGGUGUCGAGGUUCAACCGAGAAUCUGACCAGAUUUUUUUUGUCUUGUCACAAAGGAGGAGGAGGUGCUCAGGAGAUUCUGGGGGCUUUACGGCACACCGGGCAAAGAGGGUCAGGACUAGGGCACAGCACUAGGACAACCACAACAGAAUCAAGCCAAGAAAACCAGACCGUGACUUACUAGCAAUAUAUGCACAAGUCAGACUAUCAGAGCACCACCAGGUUGUGAAGAGCAGUAAGCAGCGUCCCUCUCCUCUGUGACUGGAUGGUAUUAAGAACUGAAGGAAGGCGUUUAGAAUAGGAUAAGUGGCUAUGGGCGUAACACUCCAAAACUGGAAGAAGGAAGGUAGUGGGGAUCUGAACCGAGACAAGGUCAAAGGGCGAAACCUAGUGAGGAGGAUGAAUUCCAGGGGGGAGAAGGUAAAUGAGAAUGUAAGGAAUUGGUGUAAACUUCAUGACUGGAAGGGAGUUGAAGGUAAAUAGGGCUAUCUAGGGUUAACUAUCACCAUGGAUAGAGAAAGCUCUUACUAGAAGAGAGAGAAGCUCUUACAAGAAGAGAGAAGCUCAAUAUAGAGCAAAAUCAAUAACCCCAUGUGGUUGUUGAGUAGUUGAGAAAUGGAAAUGGGUGCCUAUACUAGAGACAAGACACAACUUCGAUUCCCUUUACCAUCAAGUGUAAACGAUCUCAUAUUUUGGUCACUUUAUUCGGAUUUUGGUUUGCAUCUUCAAAUAUUCAUGGUGAGCAAAAUCUAUCUACCGAAAGAUGUAGAUUUUCUCAUCAUGAAAUAAAGGGUUAACUACAGAUUUAAUCCUUUGAAUUUCAA